AGAGUUUGAUCAUGGCUCAGAAUGAACGCUGGCGGCGUGCCUAACACAUGCAAGUCGCACGAGAACGUUUCAGCUUGCUGAAACUAGUAAAGUGGCGCACGGGUGAGUAACGCGUGGGUAAUCUACCUCCGAAUUGGGGAUAACAUUGCGAAAGCGACGCUAAUACCGGAUAAUAUCUCAAGAACCUCGGUCCUUGAGAUCAAAGGUGGCCUCUACAUGGAAGCUACCGUUUGGAGAUGAGCCCGCGUACCAUUAGCUUGUUGGUAGGGUAAUGGCCUACCAAGGCGACGAUGGUUAGCUGGUCUGAGAGGAUGAUCAGCCACACUGGAACUGAAACACGGUCCAGACUCCUACGGGAGGCAGCAGUGAGGAAUUUUGCGCAAUGGGGGAAACCCUGACGCAGCAACGCCGCGUGAGUGAUGAAGGCCUUCGGGUCGUAAAGCUCUGUCAAGUGGGAAGAACCUGCCCUGUGCUAAUAUCACCGGGCAUUGACGGUACCACUGAAGGAAGCACCGGCUAACUCCGUGCCAGCAGCCGCGGUAACACGGAGGGUGCAAGCGUUAUUCGGAAUCACUGGGCGUAAAGAGCGCGUAGGCGGUUUCUUAAGUCAGAUGUGAAAGCCCGGGGCUUAACCCCGGAAGUGCAUUUGAAACUAAGGGACUUGAGUAUGGGAGAGGGAAGUGGAAUUCCUGGUGUAGCGGUGAAAUGCGUAGAUAUCAGGAGGAACACCGGUGGCGAUGGC
RNAcentral lists this ribosomal RNA (742 nucleotides) under uncultured bacterium. RNAcentral describes it as "bacterial SSU rRNA". It matches the Rfam family "Bacterial small subunit ribosomal RNA", at positions 8 to 722 of the family's 1533-position model. The record is from RNAcentral.